Molecule: small RNA, 33 nt
Filed under: Arabidopsis thaliana (thale cress)
Lineage: Eukaryota; Viridiplantae; Streptophyta; Magnoliopsida; Brassicales; Brassicaceae
Description: ATSL071890
Source: RNAcentral
UUCCUUAUUCUUCUUCUUCUUCUUCCUCUUCAU